This 72-nucleotide transfer RNA is filed under the name Ovis aries (sheep). It matches the Rfam family "tRNA". From Rfam's summary of the family: Transfer RNA (tRNA) molecules are approximately 80 nucleotides in length. The record is from Rfam by way of RNAcentral. Lineage: Eukaryota; Metazoa; Chordata; Mammalia; Artiodactyla; Bovidae.
UCCCUGGUGGUCCAGUGGUUAGGACUUUGUCUUCCAGUGCAGAGGUUGUGGGUUCGAUUCCCGGUCAGGGAG